AAUAAAAAAAAAGUAAAAAAAAAAGUUUAAUGAUUUUGAUAUUAUAAUAGAGAUAGAAAUGAAUGAUGAAAAGAACAAAUCUGCAGACUGCAGGCGUAACUUCUUUAUCUCUGCACAAGCAUUCAAAGAUACUAUCAUAGAUAAAAAGAAUAGAUUCCUUCAAUGUUAAGUUCACAAACCGAAUCAUAACACAAGCCUAUUUCAAACAACUCAUCAUUCCAACUUCUUUGUCAUAUUCUCAAACUGUUACUACCUAACGUUAG
RNAcentral lists this unclassified non-coding RNA (263 nucleotides) under Hevea brasiliensis (rubber tree). Lineage: Eukaryota; Viridiplantae; Streptophyta; Magnoliopsida; Malpighiales; Euphorbiaceae. The record is from RNAcentral.